Molecule: ribosomal RNA, 251 nt
Filed under: uncultured bacterium
Lineage: Bacteria
Description: partial 16S ribosomal RNA
Rfam family: Bacterial small subunit ribosomal RNA
Source: RNAcentral
AAGUCGAACGACCCCUUCGGGGGGAGUGGCAGACGGGUGAGUAACGCGUGGGAACGUGCCCUUCACUUCGGAAUAGCCCUGGGAAACUGGGUGUAAUACCGGAUACGCCGUAUUGGGAAAGAUUUAUCGGUGAAGGAUCGGCCCGCGUAAGAUUAGCUUGUUGGUGGGGUAAUGGCCUACCAAGGCGACGAUCUUUAGCUGGUCUGAGAGGAUGAUCAGCCACACUGGGACUGAGACACGGCCCAGACUCC